Molecule: ribosomal RNA, 499 nt
Filed under: uncultured bacterium
Lineage: Bacteria
Description: partial 16S ribosomal RNA
Rfam family: Bacterial small subunit ribosomal RNA
Source: RNAcentral
GAUGAACGCUGGCGGCGUGCCUAAUACAUGCAAGUCGAGCGAACAGACGAGAGUGCUUGCACUCUCUGACGUUAGCGGCGGACGGGUGAGUAACACGUGGGUAACCUACCUAUAAGACUGGGAUAACUUCGGGAAACCGGAGCUAAUACCGGAUAAUAUUUAGCUUCGCAUGAAGCAAUAGUGAAAGACGGUUCUGCUGUCACUUAUAGAUGGACCCGCGGUGUAUUAGCUAGUUGGUGAGGUAACGGCUCACCAAGGCAACGAUACAUAGCCGACCUGAGAGGGUGAUCGGCCACACUGGGACUGAGACACGGCCCAGACUCCUACGGGAGGCAGCAGUAGGGAAUCUUCCGCAAUGGACGAAAGUCUGACGGAGCAAUGCCGCGUGAGUGAAGAAGGUUUUCGGAUCAUAAAACUCUGUUGUAAGGGAAGAACAAGUACGUUAGUAACUGAACGUACCUUGACGGUACCUUACCAGAAAGCCACGGCUAACUACGUG